GCGAGGGAUCAUAAAGGCAGCUGACCCUGCUGACACAGCUAGACAAUACCGAGUCCAGGGGUGGGAGGCCUAUAAAGAAAGCUGCAUAUGAGCUUUCUGUCCAAGUUAUGAAUAAAGCUUUCCAUAAAGUAUUUCAGUGCCUAUCCUUUUUCUGGCCUGACCCUUUUGUUCUAUCAUUUUCUCUGGCUGGAGUGACUCCAUGAGAAAGGGUUUUGUGCCGUGUAGUUAUUUAUUGUGCUGGAACAUUAUUGUGUGAGUAACUGGUGAUUCUGUAUGUCAGGAUGGCCAAAACAUUUUGCAUUGUAGAAUCCCAUUUUACUAGAUAA
This 326-nucleotide unclassified non-coding RNA is filed under the name Hevea brasiliensis (rubber tree). The record is from RNAcentral. Lineage: Eukaryota; Viridiplantae; Streptophyta; Magnoliopsida; Malpighiales; Euphorbiaceae.